GGUUAAGCGAACAAGCGUACACGGUGGAUGCCCUGGCAGUCAGAGGCGAUGAAGGACGUGCUAAUCUGCGAAAAGCGCCGGUAAGGUGAUAUGAACCGUUAUAACCGGCGAUGUCCGAAUGGGGAAACCCGGUGCACUUCGGUGCAUCAUCGUUAGCUGAAUACAUAGGCUAACGAGGCGAACCGGGGGAACUGAAACAUCUAAGUACCCCGAGGAAAAGAAAUCAACCGAGAUUCCCCCAGUAGCGGCGAGCGAACGGGGAACAGCCCAGAGCCUGAAUCAGCUUGUGUGUCAGUGGAACGGUCUGGAAAGGCCGGCGAUACAGGGUGACAGCCCCGUACACGAAGGCACACAGGCUGUGAGCUCGAUGAGUAGGGCGGGACACGUGAUAUCCUGUCUGAAGAUGGGGGGACCAUCCUCCAAGGCUAAAUACUCCUGACUGACCGAUAGUGAACCAGUACCGUGAGGGAAAGGCGAAAAGAACCCCGGCGAGGGGAGUGAAACAGAACCUGAAACCGUGUACGUACAAGCAGUGGGAGCCUUCGUAAGAGGGUGACUGCGUACCUUUUGUAUAAUGGGUCAGCGACUUAUAUUCUGUAGCAAGGUUAACCGUAUAGGGGAGCCGAAGGGAAACCGAGUCUUAACCGGGCGUUAAGUUGCAGGGUAUAGACCCGAAACCCGGUGAUCUAGCCAUGGGCAGGUUGAAGGUUGGGUAACACUAACUGGAGGACCGAACCGACUAAUGUUGAAAAAUUAGCGGAUGACCUGUGGCUGGGGGUGAAAGGCCAAUCAAACCGGGAGAUAGCUGGUUCUCCCCGAAAGCUAUUUAGGUAGCGCCUCGUGAACUCAUCUCCGGGGGUAGAGCACUGUUUCGGCUAGGGGGCCAUCCCGGCUUACCAACCCGAUGCAAACUGCGAAUACCGGAGAAUGUUAUCACGGGAGACACACGGCGGGUGCUAACGUCCGUCGUGAAGAGGGAAACAACCCAGACCGCCAGCUAAGGUCCCAAAGUCAUGGUUAAGUGGGAAACGAUGUGGGAAGGCCCAGACAGCCAGGAUGUUGGCUUAGAAGCAGCCAUCAUU
RNAcentral lists this ribosomal RNA (1082 nucleotides) under Cronobacter sakazakii. RNAcentral's name for it is "partial 23S ribosomal RNA". It matches the Rfam family "Bacterial large subunit ribosomal RNA", at positions 1 to 1123 of the family's 2925-position model. Lineage: Bacteria; Pseudomonadati; Pseudomonadota; Gammaproteobacteria; Enterobacterales; Enterobacteriaceae. The record is from RNAcentral.